CCUUGAGAAAAGCCUCUAAGGAGUGGAGUGGGUACCCGUACCGCAAACCGACACAGGUAGGCGAGGAGAAAAUCCUAAGGCCCAAGUGUGAUCCCCCGUUUAGGAACUCGGCAAAUUGGCCCCGUAACUUCGGAAGAAGGGGUGCUCUUGCUUGUCAUCCGGCUUGCCCGGAGAAGCGAGCGAGAGUUGCAAUAAAGAGGCUCAGGCGACUGUUUACUAAAAACACAGGGCUCUGCGAAGUCGAAUACGACGUAUAGGGUCUGACGCCUGCCCGGUGCCGGAAGGUUAAAGAGAGGGGUUAGCCGCAAGGCGAAGCUCUGAACUGAAGCCCCGGUAAACGGCGGCCGUAACUAUAACGGUCCUAAGGUAGCGAAAUUCCUUGUCGGGUAAGUUCCGACCUGCACGAAUGGCGUAACGAUCUGAGCGCUGUCUCAACGGGGAGCACUGCGAAUUUGUGGUACCGGUGAAGACGCCGGUUGCCCGUCACAAGACGAAAAGACCCCGUGCACCUUUACUACAUCCUAGUAGUGAAUGCUGGCGCAGUAUGCGCAGGAUAGGUGGGAGGCUUUGAACUCAGGCUUUCGGGCUUGGGGGAGCCAACGGUGAGAUACCACCCUUACUACUCCGGCGUUCUAACCUCGUUCUGUUAUCCAGAUCAGGGACACUGCUAGGUGGGUAGUUUGACUGGGGCGGUCGCCUCCUAAACUGUAACGGAGGCGCUCGAAGGUUCGCUCAGGCUGUUUGGAAAUCAGCCAUAGAGUGCAAAGGCAUAAGCGAGCUUGACUGCGAGACCUACAAGUCGAGCAGGUGGGAAACCAGGACUUAGUGAUCCGGUGGUUCCGCAUGGAAGGGCCAUCGCUCAACGGAUAAAAGGUACGCCCGGAUAACAGGCUGAUCUGAGCCAAGAGUCCACAUCGACGCUCAGGUUUGGCACCUCGAUGUCGGCUCAUCGCAUCCUGGAGCUGUAGCAGGUUCCAAGGGUCCGGCUGUUCGCCGGUUAAAGCGGUACGUGAGCUGGGUUUAGAACGUCGCGAGACAGUUCGGUCUCUAUCUGUGAUGGGCGCAGGAGAUUUGAGUGGGGCUGACCUUAGUACGAGAGGACCGGGUUGGACGAACCUCUAGUGUAUCGGUUGUCACGCCAGUGGCAGUGCCGAGUAGCUACGUUCGGAAGGGAGAAACGCUGAAGGCAUCUAAGCGUGAAACCCUCCACGAGAUGAGAUCUCCCAGGGCAUAAGCCCUCUGAAGGCUCCUGGUAGACGACCAGGUUGAUAGGCCAGGUGUGGAAGCGCAGCGAUGCGUUAAGCUAACUGGUACUAAUUAGCCGUGAGGCUUGACCG
RNAcentral lists this ribosomal RNA (1337 nucleotides) under metagenome. RNAcentral describes it as "bacterial LSU rRNA". It matches the Rfam family "Bacterial large subunit ribosomal RNA", at positions 1606 to 2925 of the family's 2925-position model. The record is from RNAcentral.